This 107-nucleotide small nucleolar RNA is filed under the name Oryza punctata. RNAcentral's name for it is "Plant small nucleolar RNA R71". It matches the Rfam family "Plant small nucleolar RNA R71". From Rfam's summary of the family: R71 is a member of the C/D box family of snoRNAs containing the C (UGAUGA) and D (CUGA) box motifs. Multiple nearly identical copies of this snoRNA have been identified in Arabidopsis, and it is thought to function as a 2'-O-ribose methylation guide for 18S ribosomal RNA. The record is from Rfam by way of RNAcentral. Lineage: Eukaryota; Viridiplantae; Streptophyta; Magnoliopsida; Poales; Poaceae.
AUCCCAUGAUGAGGAUAGGCGGCAACGUAUUCCUGCAACCUUUCCCACGCUUUUGGGAUCAUCUCAUCUUUCAUCUGCUGGAAGUUGGAUAUUCUUCCAUGAAGGGC